Molecule: ribosomal RNA, 106 nt
Filed under: Opisthorchis viverrini
Lineage: Eukaryota; Metazoa; Platyhelminthes; Trematoda; Opisthorchiida; Opisthorchiidae
Source: RNAcentral
GACCGCGACCGUACCAUGUUAGAAACAGCAGUUCUUUUUUGAUCACCGAAGGGAAGUAAUAUUGGGACACUUUGGUGCCAACUGGGAAUACCGUGCGGUGCGGCCC